UACGUAGGUGGCAAGCGUUGUCCGGAAUUAUUGGGCGUAAAGCGCGCGCAGGCGGUCCUUUAAGUCUGAUGUGAAAGCCCACGGCUCAACCGUGGAGGGUCAUUGGAAACUGGGGGACUUGAGUGCAGAAGAGGAAAGCGGAAUUCCACGUGUAGCGGUGAAAUACGUAGAGAUGUGGAGGAACACCAGUGGCGAAGGCGGCUUUCUGGUCUGUAACUGACGCUGAGGCGCGAAAGCGUGGGGAGCAAACAGG
RNAcentral lists this ribosomal RNA (253 nucleotides) under uncultured bacterium. RNAcentral describes it as "partial 16S ribosomal RNA". It matches the Rfam family "Bacterial small subunit ribosomal RNA", at positions 524 to 776 of the family's 1533-position model. The record is from RNAcentral.